UGUCGUUCUUGAAACCCGAACAGGGAAUUCCUAGGCCUCUGGGCCACCUCCCACCCGUGUCUUCGUACCUUGUUGCUUCGGGGGCCCGCCGUUUCGACGGCCGCCGGGGAGGCCUUGCGCCCCCGGGCCGCGCCCGCCGAAGACCCCAACAUGAACGCUGUUCUGAAAGUAUGCAGUCUGAGUUGAUUAUCGUAAUCAGUUAAAACUUUCAACAACGGAUCUCUUGGUUCCGGCAUCGAUGAAGAACGCAGCGAAUGCGAUAAGUAAUGUGAAUUGCAGAAUUCAGUGAAUCAUCGAGUCUUUGAACGCACAUUGCGCCCCCUGGUAUUCCGGGGGGCAUGCCUGUCCGAGCGUCAUUGCUGCCCUCAAGCACGGCUUGUGGUUGGGCCCCCGUCCCCCUCUCCCGGGGGACGGGCCCGAAAGGCAGCGGCGGCACCGCGUCCGGUCCUCGAGCGUAUGGGGCUUUGUCACCUGCUCUGUAGGCCCGGCCGGCGCCAGCCGACACCCACUUUAUUUUUCUAAGGUUGACCUCGGGAUCAGGUAGGGGAUACCCGCUGAGCUUAAGCAUAUCAAUAAGCGGAGGAAAAGAAACCAACAGGGAUUGCCUCAGUAACGGCGAGGGAAGCGGCAAGAGCCAAAUUUGAAGCUGGCCCCUUCGGGGUCCGCGUUGUAAUUUGCAAAGGAUGCUUCGGGUGCAGCCCCCGUCUAAGUGCCCUGGAACGGGCCGUCAUAGAGGGUGAGAAUCCCGUCUGGGACGGGGUGCUGCGUCCGUGUGACGCUCCUUCGACGAGUCGAGUUGUUUGGGCAUGCAGCUCUAAAUGGGUGGUAAAUUUCAUCUAAAGCUAAAUACUGGCCGGAGACCGAUAGCGCACAAGUAGAGUGAUCGAAAAUGAAAAGCACUUUGAAAAGAGAGUUAAACAGCACGUGAAAUUGUUGAAAGGGAAGCGUUUGCGACCAGACUCGCCCGCGGGGUUCAGCCGGCAUUCGUGCCGGUGUACUUCCCCGUGGGCGGGCCACGUCGGUUUGGGCGGCCGGUCAAAGGCCCUCGGAAUGUAUCACCUCUCGGGGUGUCUUAUAGCCGAGGGUGCAAUGCGGCCUGCCGGACCGAGGAACCGGUCGGCUCGUUUGUGGAAGUAAAAGUCCAAGUGUGAAUAUACCA
This 1159-nucleotide ribosomal RNA is filed under the name Aspergillus fumigatus. RNAcentral describes it as "eukaryotic LSU rRNA". The stretch from base 526 to 1159 matches the Rfam family "Eukaryotic large subunit ribosomal RNA", at positions 1 to 620 of the family's 3401-position model. Lineage: Eukaryota; Fungi; Ascomycota; Eurotiomycetes; Eurotiales; Aspergillaceae. The record is from RNAcentral.